RNAcentral lists this ribosomal RNA (963 nucleotides) under Escherichia coli. RNAcentral's name for it is "partial 23S ribosomal RNA". It matches the Rfam family "Bacterial large subunit ribosomal RNA", at positions 234 to 1238 of the family's 2925-position model. Lineage: Bacteria; Pseudomonadati; Pseudomonadota; Gammaproteobacteria; Enterobacterales; Enterobacteriaceae. The record is from RNAcentral.
AUUCCCCCAGUAGCGGCGAGCGAACGGGGAGGAGCCCAGAGCCUGAAUCAGUGUGUGUGUUAGUGGAAGCGUCUGGAAAGGCGCGCGAUACAGGGUGACAGCCCCGUACACAAAAAUGCACAUACUGUGAGCUCGAUGAGUAGGGCGGGACACGUGGUAUCCUGUCUGAAUAUGGGGGGACCAUCCUCCAAGGCUAAAUACUCCUGACUGACCGAUAGUGAACCAGUACCGUGAGGGAAAGGCGAAAAGAACCCCGGCGAGGGGAGUGAAAAAGAACCUGAAACCGUGUACGUACAAGCAGUGGGAGCCUCUUAAUGGGGUGACUGCGUACCUUUUGUAUAAUGGGUCAGCGACUUAUAUUCUGUAGCAAGGUUAACCGAAUAGGGGAGCCGAAGGGAAACCGAGUCUUAACUGGGCGUUAAGUUGCAGGGUAUAGACCCGAAACCCGGUGAUCUAGCCAUGGGCAGGUUGAAGGUUGGGUAACACUAACUGGAGGACCGAACCGACUAAUGUUGAAAAAUUAGCGGAUGACUUGUGGCUGGGGGUGAAAGGCCAAUCAAACCGGGAGAUAGCUGGUUCUCCCCGAAAGCUAUUUAGGUAGCGCCUCGUGAAUUCAUCUCCGGGGGUAGAGCACUGUUUCGGCAAGGGGGUCAUCCCGACUUACCAACCCGAUGCAAACUGCGAAUACCGGAGAAUGUUAUCACGGGAGACACACGGCGGGUGCUAACGUCCGUCGUGAAGAGGGAAACAACCCAGACCGCCAGCUAAGGUCCCAAAGUCAUGGUUAAGUGGGAAACGAUGUGGGAAGGCCCAGACAGCCAGGAUGUUGGCUUAGAAGCAGCCAUCAUUUAAAGAAAGCGUAAUAGCUCACUGGUCGAGUCGGCCUGCGCGGAAGAUGUAACGGGGCUAAACCAUGCACCGAAGCUGCGGCAGCGACACUAUGUGUUGUUGGGUAGGGGAGCG